CCUACGGGAGGCAGCAGUGAGGAAUAUUGGUCAAUGGACGGGAGCCUGAACCAGCCAAGCAGCGUGAGGGAUGACGGAACAGUGUAUGGUAAACUUCUUUUGUCUGGGCAUAAAACAGGGUAUUCCUCCCCGCUUGUAUGUACCAUAAGAAUAAGGAUCGGCUAACUCCGUGCCAGCAGCCGCGGUAAUACGGAGGAUCCGAUCGUUUUCCGGUGUUAUUGGGUUUAAAGGGAGCGGAGGGGGAUUGUUAAGUCCGUUGUGAAAGGUUGCGGGUUAAACGUAACAGUGCAGUUGAAACUGGCAGGCUGGAGUAGAGGAGAGGUGCGCGGAAUGCGCGGUGUAGCGGUGAAAUGCUUAGAUAUCGCGAAGAACCCCGAUUGCGAAGGCAGAUCACCGGA
RNAcentral lists this ribosomal RNA (398 nucleotides) under uncultured bacterium. Its description in RNAcentral is "partial 16S ribosomal RNA". It matches the Rfam family "Bacterial small subunit ribosomal RNA", at positions 338 to 733 of the family's 1533-position model. The record is from RNAcentral.